UUUUAUUCCAAAAUCACACUUGAAGACUUGAGAGCACUUUGAAGGCAUUGAAGACACUUAGAAGACGGUGAGAAUCAAAAUCAUAGUGGGUGUGUAUCAUAGUCAGUGUAUCUGAGUUGGCUGCAUUCAAUGUAUCUGAGCUGGCUCUGGCUACAUGCCAAUUGAAAUGCCGGGGAGCUAUCUGUGUAAAUUUUGAAUAUUUGGUAUAAUCGAACAGAUGUAAACGCAUCCAGACUUCUAGAGAAAA
Ipomoea triloba (trilobed morning glory) is the source of this 247-nucleotide long non-coding RNA. RefSeq lists it as uncharacterized. Lineage: Eukaryota; Viridiplantae; Streptophyta; Magnoliopsida; Solanales; Convolvulaceae. The record is from RefSeq and is a predicted model, not a curated record. The transcript has 2 exons.